This 700-nucleotide ribosomal RNA is filed under the name uncultured Nitrospira sp. RNAcentral describes it as "bacterial SSU rRNA". It matches the Rfam family "Bacterial small subunit ribosomal RNA", at positions 63 to 755 of the family's 1533-position model. The record is from RNAcentral. Lineage: Bacteria; Pseudomonadati; Nitrospirota; Nitrospiria; Nitrospirales; Nitrospiraceae.
CGAGCGAGAAGACGUAGCAAUACGUUUGUAAAGCGGCGAACGGGUGAGGAAUACAUGGGUAACCUACCCUAGAGUGGGGAAUAACUAGCCGAAAGGUUAGCUAAUACCGCGUACGCUCCCUGGACUUCGGUUCAGGGGGGAAAGCGCUACCGAGGGUAGCGCGCUCUUGGAUGGGCUCAUGUCCUAUCAGCUUGUUGGUGAGGUAACGGCUCACCAAGGCUUCGACGGGUAGCUGGUCUGAGAGGACGAUCAGCCACACUGGCACUGCGACACGGGCCAGACUCCUACGGGAGGCAGCAGUAAGGAAUAUUGCGCAAUGGGCGAAAGCCUGACGCAGCGACGCCGCGUGGGGGAUGAAGGUCUUCGGAUUGUAAACCCCUUUCGGGAGGGAAGAUGGAGUGGGGUAACCCACUCGGACGGUACCUCCAGAAGCAGCCACGGCUAACUUCGUGCCAGCAGCCGCGGUAAUACGAAGGUGGCAAGCGUUAUUCGGAUUUACUGGGCGUACAGGGAGCGUAGGCGGUUCGGUAAGCCCUCUGUGAAAUCUUCAGGCUUAACCUGGAAAAGUCGGAGGGGACUGCCGGGCUAGAGGACGGGAGAGGAGCGCGGAAUUCCCGGUGUAGCGGUGAAAUGCGUAGAGAUCGGGAGGAAGGCCGGUGGCGAAGGCGGCGCUCUGGAACGUUUCUGACGCUGAGGCUCG